This is a long non-coding RNA of Lemur catta (Ring-tailed lemur), 203 nucleotides long. RefSeq lists it as uncharacterized. Lineage: Eukaryota; Metazoa; Chordata; Mammalia; Primates; Lemuridae. The record is from RefSeq and is a predicted model, not a curated record. The transcript has 3 exons.
UAGGAUGAGACUGGGGCUUUGGCACAAGUCCAGGUUUGCCAGUUAUCUGUGAGAAAUUGGCUGACUGUUCCAAGAAGGACACCCAAUAGAUAAGAGCAAAGUGGUUUUGGUGCACUCAUGUCCACUCCUGCUGUGAUCUGGCUGCCUCCAUGAAGUGAGGUGCCCAAUCCCAUGGCUCCCAGCCCUCAACAGAUGCUGGCCCC